Hypomesus transpacificus is the source of this 164-nucleotide long non-coding RNA. RefSeq lists it as uncharacterized. The transcript has 2 exons. Lineage: Eukaryota; Metazoa; Chordata; Actinopteri; Osmeriformes; Osmeridae. The record is from RefSeq and is a predicted model, not a curated record.
GGUGAGUGGUUGUGGUUGGACAGUGUACGAGGUCAGUGGGUGUGGUUGGACAGUGUACGAGGUCAGUGGGUGUGGUUGGACUGUGUGUCUGUCCGCUGUGCUGUGGAGGUACGCGCCCCACCUCAGCGCUGCGGCUGUGGCGUGCCGCGGCGGGCCCCCUACCU